Molecule: ribosomal RNA, 898 nt
Filed under: uncultured fungus
Lineage: Eukaryota; Fungi
Description: eukaryotic LSU rRNA
Rfam family: Eukaryotic large subunit ribosomal RNA (bases 530-898)
Source: RNAcentral
GGAAGGAUCAUUAUUGAUAUUAAUUGUCUACCUUCAGUGCUGGCUUUUGCAUGUGCACGUUGGGGACAUAUAUCCAAUACCCUCUUGUGAACCAUUGGCCUUUGCUAGCUUCGGCUGGUAAAGGAUUUUACACACAUGAAUGUAAUGAAAUAAUCUUGUGCUGAGCACUAUAAAUAUACAACUUUCAACAACGGAUCUCUUGGCUCUCGCAUCGAUGAAGAACGCAGCGAAAUGCGAUAAGUAAUGUGAAUUGCAGAAUUCAGUGAAUCAUCGAAUCUUUGAACGCACCUUGCACCCUUUGGUAUUCCAAAGGGUAUGCCCGUUUGAGUGUCAUUAUACUCUCACACUCUCUAAUUAGUUAGAGAGCGGUGGAUUUGGAUGUUGCCUGGUACUUGCUGUCAGGCUCAUCUUAAAUGAAUUAGUGCGACUCUUAGUUAAACAUAGUACGGCGUGAUAAGUAACCCUCGCUGUUUUCUGUCUGAUUAGGAGCUCUGUGCUUCAAACCGUCUCAGGACAAUACUUGAUAACUUGACCUCAAAUCGAGUAGGAUUACCCGCUGAACUUAAGCAUAUCAAUAAGCGGAGGAAAAGAAACUAACAAGGAUUCCCCUAGUAACGGCGAGUGAAGAGGGAAAAGCUCAAAUUUUGAAUCUGGCGUCUUUGGCGUCCGAGUUGUAAUCUAGAGAAGUGUUUUCCGUGGCGGACCGUGCAUAAGUCUCCUGGAAUGGAGCGUCAUAGAGGGUAAGAAUCCCGUGUAUGGGCAUGGACUACCGUUACUCUGUGAUACACUCUCAACGAGUCGAGUUGUUUGGGAAUGCAGCUCUAAAUGGGUGGUAAAUGCCAUCUAAAGCUAAAUAUUGGCGAGAGACCGAUAGCGAACAAGUACCGUGAGGGAAAGA